This is a long non-coding RNA of Bombyx mori (domestic silkworm), 314 nucleotides long. RefSeq lists it as uncharacterized. The record is from RefSeq and is a predicted model, not a curated record. NCBI's taxonomy places the organism in Eukaryota, Metazoa, Arthropoda, Insecta, Lepidoptera, Bombycidae. The transcript has 2 exons.
UCUUUCGAAAGUAAAUCGCUAUAAUUUAAUAAUUGUUUCUCUUCAUAUUGGCAUAUUGUAGCAGUGAUGAUAGUGAUAUGGAAUUAUUUCAAAUGAUAAUGGAUUGUGAUGCAGAUAGUGAUAGUGAGGCCGAUAUCAUAUGGUUAGGAAAAUAAAGAUCGUCUGAAUUACAUGGCGAAGAUCAAUAAUUACGAAUUUGACUAUAGAUUUCUGAGCAAAGGUGUUGUGAAUGAAUUGAUUAAUUUAAUGAGACCAUAUUUGAGUGUAACGUCAAAAAGAUUCAAAUAUAGGAGAGGAAUUUAGAAAUAGAAAAA